UGGGGAAUCUUCCGCAAUGGACGAAAGUCUGACGGAGCAACGCCGCGUGAGUGAAGACGGCCUUCGGGUUGUAAAGCUCUGUUAUUCGGGAAGAACGAUUCGUUUGUGAACAAUGAACGGAAGUGACGGUACCGAAAGAGAAAGCCACGGCUAACUACGUGCCAGCAGCCGCGGUAAUACGUAGGUGGCAAGCGUUGUCCGGAAUUAUUGGGCGUAAAGAGCGCGUAGGCGGUAUGGUAAGUCUGUCGUAGAAGUGCGGGGCUUAACCCCGUGAGGGGACAGGGACUGUCAUACUGGAGUCUCGGAGAGGAAAGCGGAAUUCCUAGUGUAGCGGUGAAAUGCGUAGAGAUUAGGAAGAACACCGGUGGCGAAGGCGGCUUUCUGGACGAGCACUGACGCUGAGGCGCGAAAGCGUGGGGAGCGAACAGG
This 429-nucleotide ribosomal RNA is filed under the name Fusobacteriota bacterium. RNAcentral describes it as "Fusobacteria bacterium partial 16S ribosomal RNA". It matches the Rfam family "Bacterial small subunit ribosomal RNA", at positions 355 to 776 of the family's 1533-position model. Lineage: Bacteria; Fusobacteriati; Fusobacteriota. The record is from RNAcentral.